Molecule: ribosomal RNA, 446 nt
Filed under: uncultured bacterium
Lineage: Bacteria
Description: partial 16S ribosomal RNA
Rfam family: Bacterial small subunit ribosomal RNA
Source: RNAcentral
CCAGACUCCUACGGGAGGCAGCAGUAGGGAAUAUUGCACAAUGGGGGAAACCCUGAUGCAGCAACGCCGCGUGAGUGAAGAAGUAUUUCGGUAUGUAAAGCUCUAUCAGCAGGGAAGAAGAAAGACGGUACCUGACUAAGAAGCCCCGGCUAACUACGUGCCAGCAGCCGCGGUAAUACGUAGGUGGCAAGCGUUAUCCGGAUUUACUGGGUGUAAAGGGCGUGUAGGCGGGACUGCAAGUCAGAUGUGAAAACCAUGGGCUCAACCUAUGGCCUGCAUUUGAAACUGUAGUUCUUGAGUACUGGAGAGGCAGACGGAAUUCCUAGUGUAGCGGUGAAAUGCGUAGAUAUUAGGAGGAACACCAGUGGCGAAGGCGGCCUGCUGGACGGUGUACUGACGCUGAGGCUCGAAAGCGUGGGGAGCAAACAGGAUUAGAUACCCUGGUA